CUUCAAGGCAGGGUGUAAUUCCCGACCGGUGGUGAUAGUCCACAAGCAGAGGCAUGAUUUGGUGAAAUUCCAAAACCGAUAGUAUAGUCUAGAUGGGAGAAGAUU
RNAcentral lists this non-coding RNA (105 nucleotides) under human gut metagenome. RNAcentral describes it as "FMN riboswitch (RFN element)". It matches the Rfam family "FMN riboswitch aptamer (RFN element)". Rfam says of the family: The RFN element is a highly conserved domain that is found frequently in the 5'-untranslated regions of prokaryotic mRNAs that encode for flavin mononucleotide (FMN) biosynthesis and transport proteins. The record is from RNAcentral. RNAcentral also lists the same sequence under 1 other name.